UACAGAGGGUGCGAGCGUUAAUCGGAAUUACUGGGCGUAAAGCGUGCGUAGACGGCUAUCUAAGUCGGGUGUGAAAGCCCCGGGCUCAACCUGGGAAUUGCAUUCGAGACUGAAUAGCUAGGGUACGGUAGAGGGAAGUGGAAUUUCCGGUGUAGCGGUGAAAUGCGUAGAUAUCGGAAGGAACAUCAGUGGCGAAAGCGACUUCCUGGACCAGUACCGACGUUCAGGCACGAAAGCGAGGGAGCAAACAGG
RNAcentral lists this ribosomal RNA (252 nucleotides) under uncultured bacterium. RNAcentral's name for it is "partial 16S ribosomal RNA". It matches the Rfam family "Bacterial small subunit ribosomal RNA", at positions 524 to 776 of the family's 1533-position model. The record is from RNAcentral.